Molecule: long non-coding RNA, 1289 nt
Filed under: Amazona collaria (yellow-billed parrot)
Lineage: Eukaryota; Metazoa; Chordata; Aves; Psittaciformes; Psittacidae
Description: lncRNA (ENSACOG00000008041.1)
Source: RNAcentral
GUUUGGUGUAGGCAUCACUUCCCAAUCACACACAGGACACUCGUGCUCCUAUCGGAGCAAAGGGGACAGUAAAACCCCAGCCAGGGCUGGCUGAGCCUCCGAGCUGAGGGCUCCCUCUGACACAGGAAGCCCCAGCCCCAGCACUGACCUUUGGUCCUUGCAGGUCUUCUUCAGCAGGGACCAGAGCCGGGCCCAGCUGGUCAUCGAUGGGCUGCGAGCCCAAGAUGCUGCAAUGGCCACCUCGGGGCUCUUUGUGGCCCAACGGCCCUUGUAUGUAGGAGGGCUUCCAGCUGGCAAAGCCAAGGCUCCCGUACCGGUAAGGGCUCAGUAGUCCUGCGGCAUCCUCCUGUCGCUGCCCUUUCGCACUGCCCUGUGCCUCCCGGUUUUCAGCCCCUCAGUGCUCACUCCCGUGGUUUCCCUGCAGGUCUCCAGCUUUGACGGCUGCCUGAGGAACCUACAGCUGGACGGGAGGCCCCUGGGUCCCCCCUCGCGCACCUUUGGGGUGAUGCCAUGCUACGAGGGCGCACUGGAGAGCGGGGUCUUCUUCACUGCGGACGGCGGGGCCAUCAUCCUGGCUGAUGCGGUGGUGACCGAGCAGGACUUGGAGGUGACGCUGGAGGUCCGUCCCCACAGCGCUUCUGGCCUCGUCUUCUACAUUGGCACAAGGAGAAGGCACCUUCUGCUGCUGUACAUGGAGGAGACAAAGGUAAUGCGAGGUGGUUUCCCCAGAGGCUUUCAGAGGCAGCAGCAGUCUCCUGCCCACGCCACCCUGCUCACUGGUUCUAAUGGGUUUGUCUCACACACCAGGUCACUCUGAGAGCAAACGUUGGUGCUGAUGAGUUCUCCACAUCGGUGACGUGCCCAUCGCUCUGCGACGGGCAGUGGCACAGCAUCGCAGGUGAGGGGACAGCCAGCACUUGGCUCUGGGACACUGCUCCCCUCCUGCUGCUCAGCCCUCAGCUCCCGGGGGGAGCGCAGGGCCCUUCCUCGGGUAUUUAAACCCCAGCUCCCACCUGAAUGCACUUGAUUUGGGUGAUUGAAGCUGCCGUUGAGUCAUUCCCUAAUGAGUGAGAGUCCCUGAUCUGAGUGCUCUCAGAGCUGGGGGGCAGGAGCAAUGGGGUGCUUCCCAGUCACAGAGCAGCUGGUGAGGCCCGGGAUGUCCCACAUCCCCCUGGAUGCACCAGCUCCGUCUGUCGCAUCCUGCUGAAGGAGAAAGCCUGACCUGCAGAGUACAUCCACAGGGCUCAGAUCCCAGGGGUGGGACAGGGGAUUUGCAGGAUUCACUCCUG